Non-coding RNA from Gossypium hirsutum (cotton), 111 nucleotides. The record is from Rfam. Lineage: Eukaryota; Viridiplantae; Streptophyta; Magnoliopsida; Malvales; Malvaceae.
AACCCAUGGUGAGGGCAUCUUCGCAAAAGGUCAUUAUGUCUCUCCCAUGCAUCGUAGAGUAUUUCUAAAUCCAUCUGCACAAAAGAAGAGAUAUCAUUAUAUAAUUUGGCU